GCAGAUCGGCUUCCGGUUCCGGUGGGCUCUGAACCCUGAAAGGACCCUGUACCCCUGUUCAAGAUCUAUGUGGCGGAGCUGAUCCAGCAGCUGCAGCAGCAGGCACUGUCAGAGCCGGCGGUGGUGCAGAAGAGAGCCAGUGGCCAGUGACCACACAGCUCCUCCAUGCCUGACCAACAGGCCCAGCUUUCCCUGCCAGGCCCUUUGCACUGAGGACACAGAUCCCGGGGAGCUGUGAGGGCCACCGGUGGGCAGUGGGUGGAUCCUGGUUUCGUGUGCUGCCCAUGCACCUUCCAGCCCGGGGCCAGCUUGGCAGGGAUCCCCAGGAGGCCUGGGCCGCCCAGAGGCUCCUCUCAGGCUGGGCCCCGACGUUUGCGGCAGUGUUCCUUGUGCCCGUGGGGCCGGGAGCGAGUAAAGUCUGGGCCAGGC
This 429-nucleotide long non-coding RNA is filed under the name Homo sapiens (human). RNAcentral describes it as "non-protein coding lnc-MRPL28-2:1". The record is from RNAcentral. Lineage: Eukaryota; Metazoa; Chordata; Mammalia; Primates; Hominidae.